UUCUUCUGGAGAUCCUUCCUUAGUAAAGCUUUUCUCUUCAAACCUGGAAUCUUCUGAUGCAGUUGCCAGGAGAAAUGACAUCAUGUACAUCUGCAUAUUGCUGCGAGAGGAAGGCGAAGGUCAGGGAGGAAGGCUCACACCUCCCCAUUGGUAGACUGACACCAGGCACCCACCUCCACCAGACACGUGGCUGGAAAGCUGUGCCCACAUGGAAACUCCUGGACCAGGUUCCUCAAGGAAGGGCAUGGCCACCUGUAGUGGAAAUGCUGAAUCAUGGCUUGAAGCAGUGAUCAAGCAUCCGGUGGGAAGGCAGGGCCACACUAGGGGAGCUCAGCUGCUGUAUUUGGCUUUGUUCUAAUUUACUGCAACCUAGGAUUGUGCCACCCCAUUACUAUUGCUGCACUUUCCAUCACAUAGUAUUACAGCAUUACACCAGCUCCCAGUCAGCCCCACAGCAGCUGAACAGGUGAAAACACUGGGACUUGCAACCUGAAGAGGAAAAAGCUGGAGCUGGCAGGUAUAGAAAGGAACAACAGUAAUAUAAGUGCUCAGCCUAUCUCCAAAACUUUUAACACUUCAACUUUAAUAGUAGAAGUAGCUUUUACUUAUGUUUGGCAGAGGUUUAUUUAUUUUCAUAUAUGGCACUUGAUAUAUUAUCAAGCCUUUAGGAUCUGAGUCAAUGAGAUACCUCCACAGUGGGCUAAUUUUAAGGCAUCAUCUUCAAUUAACACUGAUCUCAAUCACAAGCUUUCCAAUAUAAGGUAGCUGGGUUAGAAAUGAUAAGAUUAUUAAUAAAAUGUUUCAUCUCAAGUUUGCUUGUAAGGAUCCAUGCCUCCAAGUUGGUUUUGUAUUCCCCUGAAGGCAUGAGAAUUGGAAAUAACUUUUACAAGCCAACAACAACGAGAGCAGGAACUCUAUCACAAUACCUCUCCUCCACAACUCGGGGCUUUUGCGAAAACUGGACAAGAUAUCCAGAAAUUACAAAAGCUUUUGAACUUCUCCAGCUCACCAGAAAGAGCACAGAUGGGGAUUGGUUUCAUUUUCUCAGUUUCUAAAAUUGGUGACAUUAGAUUCAAUUCCAAACCAGAUGAGAACUCUUCUUCAGAUCUGAUGUUUUUUCAUGAACAUUGGAGAGUUGCUCUUCUUCAAGAAGGCAGGAAAUUGAAUUGUGGUUGGUACAUGAUGGACAUUGUGUGCCUGUGCAAUUCUCUUGUUUGCUAUGAGCAAAUGUUCAGCAAACAAGGAAAUGUUCUUGGCAACAUCUUGCCUCAAUCAAAGAGCUCAUGUCUCCAGUCGUUCUUCAUCCCUUUAAUGCCAUACAGAUGUCCUCCACGUUGGCUGAAGGGACACACAACCCUUUGUGUAGUGCUUGGAGCAUAGACUGAGUUUGUGGAGAUGCGGAGUUGGA
Molecule: long non-coding RNA, 1408 nt
Organism: Lagopus muta (rock ptarmigan)
Lineage: Eukaryota; Metazoa; Chordata; Aves; Galliformes; Phasianidae
Exons: 4
Source: RefSeq, a predicted model, not a curated record